Molecule: non-coding RNA, 3521 nt
Organism: Taeniopygia guttata (zebra finch)
Lineage: Eukaryota; Metazoa; Chordata; Aves; Passeriformes; Estrildidae
Source: RefSeq, a predicted model, not a curated record
UCCGCGCGCGAUGAUUGGCCGAGAGCAAAGACUGACAGCGCGCCCGGCCAAUGGGAAGUGAGGAAAGCGCGGCGGGGCUGGGGGUGUGUGAGGGGUGUGCCGGCCGCCAUGUUGAGGGUGGCGAGCAGGGGUCACGGGCUGGUCCCUCAUGGUGGCCCGGGGGUCCCCCGGCACGGCCGGGCUGCACUUUGCAACCACGGAGUCAUAGCUGACACAGUGCCAGGCCAGGGCCGGGUUGCACGUUUAGGAGGAAUUCCCUCACGGAAAGGGUGGUUGGACUGUGGCGGUGGAGUCACCUCCCUGGAGGGAGCACUUGGUGCCGCGGUCUGGUGGAGAAGUUGAUAUUCGGUCACAAGUUGAACUUGAUGAUCUCAAAGGUCAUUUCCAGCCUAAUUGAUUCUGUGAUUCUGUGAAUCAUCAAGAUUGGAAGAAACCUUUAGGAUCAUACAGCCCAAGUGUUCACCUAGCGCUGCCACUGUGACCCUUAAACAACAUCUGCCAGAUGCAUAGACCCAACCAUCUCCAGGGAUGGUGACUCCACCAUCUCCCUGGGCAGCCUGACCUCCCAGCCAAUGAGUAAAUCAUUUUCAAAUACCUAAUUUGAGUCUCGGUUUAUGACCUUACACUGUUCACUGUGGCUCCUGUAUUUCCUGCUGGGGUGUGCUGUGUUUGUGGAGCACCACAGAGCACCCCAGCUUGCACAACUCCGAAAUAAAUUGUUCAUGUGUGUCUCCAUCGUGUCAGUAUUGGUGCACACCGGGGAACAAAUCCGAUUUCCCAGGCAGCUCCCCCACGUCCUGAGGAGGCUGUGUCUCCUGGAAAGCUGUUGAUAUUUCAGGGAUCACAGCCCCAGGUCAGCCCUGCUGCUGUUUUUGCUCUGAAACCGCUACAGGAAAUUACACAAAUUCGGUUGUGCAGUUUUGAGGCCGCAGACCUGAGCAUGGCCUGCUCUUAAAACCCGGUGCAAAAAUCUCCUCAUGAGCCCAAAGUCCUCUCAAGAGUGUCAGGACCUUUUGUGAAUGAAGUUAAACAUCUCCAUCCUGCUCCCAGCUCAGGCUUACAAAGAUAAGACUCCUUUGGACAUUAAGGAUUUGCCUCCUUUAGACAUUAAACCAGCAAAACACACAGGUCAUGAUGUCAGUGAGGUUAGAAUGGAGCAGCAAUUGUCCUUAGAAGCACAGGGAAUUGUGAUUCUCAGCGUUUGAAAUGAGAAUUGAGGAGAUAAUCAAGCCCUCUUUGGCAGUGAAGAGAUGAAAAUCUGCCUAAUUACAGAUUUUAGAACGAUGCAUUAGAGAUUCUCAAGGAAGGAGACAAAAGAAUAAAAAAAGUGAGCAGUAUAAUCCUGGGGAACUGAGGGUCAUAAGAUAAACUAUUAUACCCUUAAGGGAGGGGAAGACAUGACUCAGAAGCAUUAAAAUAUAUACAAAAGAAGACUUUUUUAGAAAAAUCUUUGGAUCUCAUUAGCAAUUAGUUAAGCUUCAGAAAAUCCCUUCCCACCUUUACAACUUAAUUUUCAGCUAAACAAAAAGCCUUCAAAGUUGGCUGGUCAGUCCUUUCCUUCUCCUUCACCUCCCCAGGAAAGGGGCUGCCAAAAGAGCCUCAGUCAAUGGCAGAUUCUCAGGAUAAUGGCUUUGGAGAAGAGGAGCAGGGAAAACUUACUGUCUGCUUCAGCUGCUGCUUGGAAAAUGAAAACACAUCUCUGUCUGUCAGGACCUGAGGACACCACCAGAUGUCAGUGGCCCUGCCCAGCCUCACCUGGGACCUUCUCCAUGGGUUCAGGAGCCCCAUUUCAGCUCAGCCUGGGGGUUUGAGACCCUUCUGCACAGAGCUGCAGGAGCCCCUCAUCCCAAAUUCCAGCCCCCUCUUCCCUGCAUCUGCCUUGCCACCAUGGACCUUUAUUCUUGAAAAUGUUUAUUUCUGAAAACUGAAUGUUAUUAUUAGAAAACUGGAGAUUGAAAGAGCCUAAAUUGCACUUCAGUAAUUGUAAAUUUUGUCUCUGAGCAAAAAGAGAAGCUAAUAAAAGAUGGAAAGUCAAGUUGAUCCCAAGUCAAUCUGAUCCUCUUUUUUUUCUUUCUCUUUAAUCUGUACAAAUGUUAGGUAAAAAUAAAAUGCAUGCCCUGGAUUCUCUGCUCAAUAAUUCCACUCCAGCAAAGACAAACUGAUUUAGGAUGGAAAUAAAGGCAGUCCUGUGGCUUGGGGCUUCUUUUUUUUCUUUUCUGUAUUUGCUCUUACAUGCAGAGUGCCACAUAAAAGUAUUUAGGACAAGAGUCUGAGCUGAGAAACUGACUGUGCUAUUAUUCAGGAGAAUAGCAGAGCUUCAGUUCACUUCAAAAGAAACAGGAUGGAGCCAAUGAUUUCCAAUAAAUCUGUGUUUGUGCCUGCAAAGUGUUCAUCCAAAGGAGAUUUGUCAGGAAACAUCUGUCAAAACCCUACCUAUCCUAAAGGUGUCUGAUUCUUGUAAUAACAGGGUUUAUACACAAAUUUCUCUUUUUGAGUUCUCAAACUAAAGAGUUUUUUGGGGUUUUUUUUAAUGUCUACUAGAAAAUAUUAAAAAUAUCGAUGUGAUCAACUGAAAAGCAGCCCUGAUAAGAGGAAAUAAAAGGCCUCUUCCUCUGUCUUCCUUUCACCACAGUGCUUGCAGUGGGAGAGCAGAGUGGGAAGCUGUGCAGCAAGCUCUGAACACAUUUUGUAAUAGCUCAGAACAGAGUUUGUAAAAUUACUUUAAAUGAGUGAGAAUCCUUUUUGAAGACUUCAUAAAUCUCGUAAGAUACUGCAAAAAGCAAACUUGCUGUGGUUACUGAGUAAAAAGCAGGAUCUUUUCAGCUCUUUGCUCUGCUCUUCAAUUAUUCAGCCCCUCCAAAUAGGCAGUUCUGAGGGUGGUUUUGUUCCAGCUCCCCAAGCUGGGUAUUUAAAAUGAGACAGCAACGUUCCACUGUCAGAGCUGUAGGCAGUCUUUAGCUUUAAUCUUAAUUUUAGAUAAAUACAACAUUGUUCUACAGAAUUACCUGGCUUUAGGCACAGGAGGCUUGUACUGAGAGCCGGCAAGAUCAGCUCUGUGCUCACAACUGCAGUUUUCUUUAGUUCUACUUGGAUUUCCUUCCUGAGUUUUUCUUGUUUAAUUUGCCUGCACUGAGUUGUUCUCCAGAAAAUGACACCAAGUACUGAACAUCAGAGGUGUCUGCCUCUGAAAUCAGAGCAUGGGAAUAUUUAUUUCAUGUGAUGAAUCUCUUUCUAUCCAUCAGUUCUCUGAAAUAAUUAUGAACCUGAGGAUUUUUAUUUAGGGCACUAUAGAAUCAGAAUUUUUAUCAUAAAAUUCUGGUUUCUGUGUAUUUUUUUCUACCAAAUUUAUGAAUAUUUAUAACUGACAGUGGACUAUUUCUAAUGGUUUAUCAAAUGGGUCCUAAAUACAAUGUUGAGACAUGUCAAUAUUCAUAUGAACAUUGAAUUCGUUUGCUUUAUUGUCUGACACUCAAUUUUGCUGUUACGGGUUUGAUAGUAAAUAAAAGUGGAAUAUAGUGCAU